AGAGUCUGUGAGCGUUAAUAUUCAGCUUUAACUGUUUUUAAAUCCUUCAGACUGUCACUCAGAGACCAGGAGAAGACUGAGGUUCCUCAAACUGCAGACGCUGACACGGUCAAAAUACCUUUGUUCACACCAGAGAAGAGUUCGGUCAGUAAUCGGACACCUCAUUCGAAAUCGCAGCAGAGAAAAGGGACAGAUCCUGAGUCGUCUUCAACAGCCAGAAGAAUUCAAUCUGACCAGGUCAAAGUAGAUUUGUUCCCACCAGAGAAGAGUUCAGUCAAAGAACAGUCACCUCCUUCGAAAUCGCAG
Long non-coding RNA from Limanda limanda (common dab), 306 nucleotides. RefSeq lists it as uncharacterized. The transcript has 3 exons. Lineage: Eukaryota; Metazoa; Chordata; Actinopteri; Pleuronectiformes; Pleuronectidae. The record is from RefSeq and is a predicted model, not a curated record.